GACGAACGCUGGCGGCGUGCCUAAUACAUGCAAGUCGAGCGGAUGACGAGGGGGCUUGCUCCUUCUGAUUCAGCGGCGGACGGGUGAGUAACACGUGGGCAACCUGCCCUGUAGAUUGGGAUAACUCCGGGAAACCGGGGCUAAUACCGAGUAAUCCAUCGGACCUCAUGGUCUGAUGUUGAAAGACGGUCUCGGCUGUCACUACAGGAUGGGCCCGCGGCGCAUUAGCUAGUUGGUGAGGUAACGGCUCACCAAGGCGACGAUGCGUAGCCGACCGGAGAGGGUGAUCGGCCACACUGGGACUGAGACACGGCCCAGACUCCUACGGGAGGCAGCAGUAGGGAAUCUUCCACAAUGGACGAAAGUCUGGUGGAGCAACUCCGCGUGAGUGUAGAAGGUUCUCGGAUCGUAAAACUCUGUUGUGAGGGAAGAACAAGUAUCGGAGUAACUGCCGGUACCUUGACGGUACCUCAUUAGAAAGCCACGGCUAACUACGUGCCAGCAGCCGCGGUAA
Molecule: ribosomal RNA, 514 nt
Filed under: uncultured bacterium
Lineage: Bacteria
Description: partial 16S ribosomal RNA
Rfam family: Bacterial small subunit ribosomal RNA
Source: RNAcentral